This is a long non-coding RNA of Frankliniella occidentalis (western flower thrips), 1943 nucleotides long. RefSeq lists it as uncharacterized. The record is from RefSeq and is a predicted model, not a curated record. The transcript has 2 exons. Lineage: Eukaryota; Metazoa; Arthropoda; Insecta; Thysanoptera; Thripidae.
CAUGCAUUUCCCGACUGUAUGUCCCAUUAUAUAGUAGCCGACAGAUUUUACGUUCAAAGCUACUUCUUGCUAUCAAAACCAAGAAUUUUGGCUUUGUUUAAUUAAUUAAUAAUGUAUCUUUAUAAGUGACAGUAGCCCUAGUUCUUAAAUUAUUUUGUUUUCUCAUUUUGAGAUUCCUAUACUGAGAAAGAGCUUCAGAAUAAUACAGUAAUAACUACAUUAAUUAUGAAGGUUGCCGAGUGCCAAGUUUGUAGAAAUUGUUUCUAAUGACAUUACUAAGUCAGCCUUGGUCUCAUUACAUUUAUUCUCCUGAUCUAUUCCUGACAUUCUGUUAUCUUCAGUUAGCAUGACUAUGUUUUGCUCAAAUGUUAGCCUGUCUAUUUCCUUUAGUUUGGUUUAAGGAAUUGGUUUGUCGAUUUGCAUAUGUUUGUGAAGUUGUCUUCAAAUGCACAUUUUUUCUGCAAAGACUAUUUUGGCAUAUGAAGUGUUGCUUAAGUUGGUAGUGGACAUUUUCUAUCGAGAGGGAUAUUAAAAUCCCUUAAAGAUCUUGUAAAGUGUUUACUGGAAAUUCUCAUCUAGUUUCUUCACUUGUGUUAGUGGAUUACUUUUCACUAACUGCAGAGUGGUUAAUGGAAACAGCUAUUUCAGGAUUUUCAAUACCAUAUUUAACAUUCAAUUUUAAAUAUAGUGGCCUAUCCUCUAAAAGAAUGAUAUUGUUCAAUAUGUCAAAGAAACUUUUUAUUAGAAUAUCAAGUUACUUAUUUUAAAAGUGCUCGUCGGUGUGGUAUUAUGUUGUUUGUGUGCAUGCUAAAAACCACUGUGUACUGUUUUUUUGUUGUUUUUUUUGGAGGGGGGGCAUAUGAUAGGUUUGUGCAAGUUACACUUAUUUCUCAUUCUUUCUUUUCUUUUAGCAUCUACCCUUUCAUGUUCUUCUCCCUGAUAAGACACAAAGUGAGAAAGCAGAAUGGUUAUUUAUUAUAUCGCAGUUUUAAUGUGAGGAAGAACAGAUUGUUUCCUCCUCAACUUGUUGUAGGGUGGAGACUGGAAUGAAAGUUUUCCAAAGAACCUGGCAACCAAAUGAUCCUUUUAAAAAAAAAAAAAAAUUGGCAUACUUUGUACUUGUGAAAUUUGCACUGAAUUAUGACUGAAAGUGCAGCAUUCCCAUUCAUGGAUAAUCUGAGUGGCGUGGGAUGUAGAGGGGAAAUUCUUCCGCAUUAUUAGCCAUGCUCCAUCACUGGGUGACUGUAUCUUGGUACUAUUUGAUAUUGUGAUAUUAAAGCUAAAACAUCAUAAGUUACCAUCUUGAAUGUUCUCUUUUGUCAAGAUGGUAUUAGUGAUAAAGCCAACUUUGAAACCUAUAGAAUUUUUUUUCCUUAGUAUAAAAAAAGUUGUCUUGUGACUUAAAAGAUAUCAUUGUGGAAACUUGCCCAUGUCAAUCUUUUAAAGUAUAUUGGGUUAAAAGGACUUAUAAGUUGUAACUAAUUUAGAGUAUGUAUGAAUUUCUAAUGUAAGAAUAUUUUGUAGGAUACAGUUUCAUCUCUAAUUUCAGUGUCAAUAGUUAAAUGUUGGAAUUGACCUGUACAUACAAACCAGUACCAUUCAUACGGCAUCAUAAAUUAUGCUUAUCUGGUAGAUCUGUCCAUGGACUGAUUCAGGAAAUAGAGAUGGAACUUUAUUCAUUGAAUCACCAAGAUAGUUUCCAUUAUGAUGGGACGUAAAUAGGUAUUUGUAAUAUAUAUUUUUAUACAAAGAUUGAGCUUUCAUACCUCUGUACAACUACCAUGGCAGGAGGUAGGCAUACAUGUGUGUUCAAUACUUCCUACUAGACUCCAAUUUUUUAAAAAGUAAAAACAUGUGAUGUGCUAGCUUAAUCUUUGUGCUGUAAGACUUGGCGAAAGCUUUGUGUUCACUGAAAAAUGAAUUAAAGGAAGACAUUCAGGAAA